AGUAACGACAGAAGGAAACAGAAAAGCCACUGGAAGCAAUGGAUUGUGCAUUUCAAAGAAUCAGCGAGACCCUGAUGAGAAACACAGGCGGAAGAAAAAACAGACAUGGCUUUGGGAACAGGACAGAAUUUUGAAGUGUGGUGUAAGGAAAUGUGGAGAGGGAAAUUGGGCUAAAAUACUGUCACAUUGUAAGUUCAACAACCGAACAAGUGUCUUGUUAAAAGACAGGUGGAGAACAAUGAAGACUCUAAAACUGAUUAACUGAGACACUGAAGGCUGAGUAGGUUUGUUUCAGCUUAAUGCAAGGGCAGUUAAAUACUUGGAUCCCUACAUUUGUUCAGAACUUUCUGGUCAGUGAUGGGUCUUACAGUUUUUGUUGAGAGCAUUAUUUGUUUAUGAUAGUUUUAUUACAGAUUUGCACUGUAAAAAUAAAGUUAUAUGCCACCAGUGUUUUCUUUAAGAAUCUUUAUUUUUUAAACCAUAGAUACAUUGGACCCUAACAAAUUCAGUGCCCUAUCCCACAUCCUAUUUUAGUACAAAAGCAAGAGCCUGAUAAGAUAGGAAGUAUUUAUUUAUGGCUAUUUCUGUUUGCUCUAUUCCAUGUUUGUAGACUAACCUUACAAAAUGCCACAUAGAAAUGGAUUUUCUAAAGAAUUGAACUGGGUUGCUCCUUUGUGGUGUUUGGUUGGUUUUGGUUUAGUUUUUCUUGACUUAUAGCUAAUGUACUACUUAUUGAAGUCUUUACUACUAGAGUGAUAAAUGUUCAAAACAGUCUAAGAGUUCUGACAAGCUUGAGUUCGCUCAGUAGUUUCAUUUAAAGGAAGAUGAGUUUUCAUCAACAAUUUAUUCUUUACAAUAUUUACUCAAGGAUUAAUAAUUAGCAUUUUGAGUUUUAUGUGCUGUAUUUAGCAACUGAAUAAAAAUCUCACCCUAUUGAAAUAUCUAUGUUAGAAA
This is a long non-coding RNA of Phodopus roborovskii (desert hamster), 954 nucleotides long. RefSeq lists it as uncharacterized. The record is from RefSeq and is a predicted model, not a curated record. NCBI's taxonomy places the organism in Eukaryota, Metazoa, Chordata, Mammalia, Rodentia, Cricetidae. The transcript has 2 exons.